RNAcentral lists this ribosomal RNA (443 nucleotides) under uncultured bacterium. Its description in RNAcentral is "partial 16S ribosomal RNA". It matches the Rfam family "Bacterial small subunit ribosomal RNA", at positions 338 to 795 of the family's 1533-position model. The record is from RNAcentral.
CCUACGGGAGGCAGCAGUGGGGAAUAUUGGGCAAUGGGCGCAAGCCUGACCCAGCAACGCCGCGUGAAGGAAGAAGGCUUUCGGGUUUUAAACUUCUUUUCUGAGGGACGAAGAAAGUGACGGUACCUCAGGAAUAAGCCACGGCUAACUACGUGCCAGCAGCCGCGGUAAUACGGAGGUGGCAAGCGUUAUCCGGAUUUAUUGGGUGUAAAGGGCGUGUAGGCGGGAAAGCAAGUCAGAUGUGAACACUGAGGGCUCAACCCUGAGAUUGCAUUUGAAACUGUUUUUCUUGAGUGCAGGAGAGGCAAUCGGAAUUCCGUGUGUAGCGGUGAAAUGCGUAGAUAUAAGGAGGAACACCAGUGGCGAAGGCGGAUUGCUGGACAGUAACUGACGCUGAGGCGCGAAAGCGUGGGGAGCAAACAGGAUUAGAUACCCGUGUAGUC